RNAcentral lists this ribosomal RNA (305 nucleotides) under uncultured bacterium. RNAcentral describes it as "bacterial SSU rRNA". It matches the Rfam family "Bacterial small subunit ribosomal RNA", at positions 334 to 637 of the family's 1533-position model. The record is from RNAcentral.
GUCGCCUAGGGGCGCAGCAGUGAGGAAUAUUGGUCAAUGGGCUUACGCCUGAACCAGCCAAGUCGCGUGAGGGAAGACUGCCCUAUGGGUUGUAAACCUCUUUUGUCAGGGAGCAACGCCGGCUACGUGUAGCCGGACUGAGAGUACCUGAAGAAAAAGCAUCGGCUAACUCCGUGCCAGCAGUCGCGGUAAUACGGAGGAUGCGAGCGUUAUCCGGAUUUAUUGGGUUUAAAGGGUGCGUAGGCGGAAUGCCAAGUCAGCGGUAAAAUCGCGGGGCUCAACCUCGCUCCGCCGUUGAAACUGGG